GACGAACGCUGGCGGCGUGCUUAACACAUGCAAGUCGAACGAUGAAGCAAAGAAUCGAAGCUUCGGCAGAAAUUCAUUUCGGAUUAGUGGCAGACGGGUGAGUAACGCGUGAGCAACCUACCUCUUACAAAGGGAUAGCCUCGGGAAACCGGGAUUAAUACCAUAUAACAUUGCGACGAAGCAUUUCGAUGCAAUCAAAGCUACGGCGGUAAGAGAUGGGCUCGCGUCCCAUUAACCGGAUGGUGAGGUAACGGCUCACCAUAGUGACGCUGGGUAACCGGGAUGAGAGGGUGAACGGUGACACUGGAACUGAGACACGGUCCAGACUCCUACGGGAGGCAGCAGUGGGGAAUAUUGCACAAUGGAGGGAACUCUGAUGCAGCGACGCCGCGUGAGUGAUGAAGGAAUUCGUUUCGUAAAACUCUGUUCUAUGGGAAGAAAAGGACUGUACCAUAGGAGAAAGCUCCGGCUAAAUACGUG
This 480-nucleotide ribosomal RNA is filed under the name uncultured bacterium. RNAcentral's name for it is "partial 16S ribosomal RNA". It matches the Rfam family "Bacterial small subunit ribosomal RNA", at positions 28 to 507 of the family's 1533-position model. The record is from RNAcentral.